This 253-nucleotide ribosomal RNA is filed under the name uncultured bacterium. RNAcentral describes it as "partial 16S ribosomal RNA". It matches the Rfam family "Bacterial small subunit ribosomal RNA", at positions 524 to 776 of the family's 1533-position model. The record is from RNAcentral.
UACGUAGGGUGCAAGCGUUAAUCGGAAUUACUGGGCGUAAAGCGUGCGCAGGCGGUCGUGCAAGACAGAUGUGAAAUCCCCGGGCUUAACCUGGGAACUGCAUUUGUGACUGCACGGCUGGAGUGCGGCAGAGGGGGAUGGAAUUCCGCGUGUAGCAGUGAAAUGCGUAGAUAUGCGGAGGAACACCGAUGGCGAAGGCAGCCCCCUGGGUCAAGAUUGACGCUCAUGCACGAAAGCGUGGGGAGCAAACAGG